Molecule: ribosomal RNA, 225 nt
Filed under: uncultured bacterium
Lineage: Bacteria
Description: partial 16S ribosomal RNA
Rfam family: Bacterial small subunit ribosomal RNA
Source: RNAcentral
GAUCCUGGCUCAGGAUGAACGCUAGUUACAGGCUUAACACACUGCAAGUCGAGGGGCAGCAUGGUCUUAGCUUGCUAAGGCCGAUGGCGACCGGCGCACGGGCGAGUAACACGUAUCCAACCUGCCGUCUACUCUUGGACAGCCUUCUGAAAGGAAGAUUAAUACAAGAUGGCAUCAUGAGUCCGCAUGUUCACAUGAUUAAAGGUAUUCCGGUAGACGAUGGGG